GAAAUGCGAUAAGUAGUGUGAAUUGCAGAAUUCAGUGAAUCAUCGAAUCUUUGAACGCACAUUGCGCCCUUUGGUAUUCCUUAGGGCAUGCCUGUUCGAGCGUCAUCUAAACCUUCAAGCCCUGCUUGGUGUUGGGUGCCUGUCCCGCCUCCGCGCGCGGACUCACCUCAAAUCCAUUGGCGGCGGCCCUUGCCUCCCUCUCGCGCAGCACAUUGCGCUUCUCGAGGCGCGGCGGACCGCGUCCAGCAAGCAACCGUCACACCGUCUUUGACCUCGGAUCAGGUAGGGAUACCCGCUGAACUUAAGC
Molecule: unclassified non-coding RNA, 307 nt
Filed under: plant metagenome
Description: partial contains 5.8S ribosomal RNA, internal transcribed spacer 2, and large subunit ribosomal RNA
Rfam family: 5.8S ribosomal RNA (bases 1-105)
Source: RNAcentral